RNAcentral lists this ribosomal RNA (555 nucleotides) under Triticum aestivum (bread wheat). RNAcentral's name for it is "partial small subunit ribosomal RNA". Lineage: Eukaryota; Viridiplantae; Streptophyta; Magnoliopsida; Poales; Poaceae. The record is from RNAcentral.
AUGGCCGAAUGCUUCAAUAGGGUGCUCAAAGGUGCACGUGGAUUACCCGUGACGGCAAUAGUUCAAUACACAUUUGACAAGAUGAAUGCGUACUUUGUAAAGUACUCGAUGGAAACCGAUGCACAGAUAGCGGGUGAGAACCCACGGAAGUACAAGUACAAGUUCCCACCCAAAGUUGAUGAAUGGUUGGUAUUUCAAUCACGGAAGGCGGACUCAGAAGAAGCUAUAUUAUAUGACAACGAAGAGUGGAAGUACGAAGUGAAAGAGCCAGGAGGAACCACAAACGAUGGCCGGCAACAUGGAGGUCGGGCUUUCAAGGUGUCGUUAACACAAUGUGAUUGCACUUGCGGGUGGCCAUUGUUGCUUCAUCUCCCAUGCUCACAUGUGUAUGCCGCCGGUCGCGUUAGGAAUGUGGACAUCAAUCAUCCACGCACCGUGAGGGAGUCGGAGUUCUCAAUCAUGACGGUCAAGAAAACAUGGGCUCCCCGCUUUCACCCAUACUUUGACCAAUCACAAUGGCCGGAGUAUCAUGGAGUUCAACUAUGGCCGGAUCCG